AGAGUUGAUCAUGGCUACAGGAUGAACGCUAGCGAUAGGCCUAACACAUGCAAGUCGAGGGGCAGCACAUGAGUAGCAAUACGAUGGUGGCGACCGGCGCACGGGUGAGUAACACGUAUGCAACCUACCUUUAACAGGGGAAUAACCCGUUGAAAAACGGACUAAUACUCCAUAACACAGGGGUCCCGCAUGGGAAUAUUUGUUAAAGAUUAAUCGGUUGAAGAUGGGCAUGCGUUCCAUUAGCUUGUUGGUGAGGUAACGGCUCACCAAGGCCACGAUGGAUAGGGGAACUGAGAGGUUUAUCCCCCACACUGGAACUGAGACACGGUCCAGACUCCUACGGGAGGCAGCAGUGAGGAAUAUUGGUCAAUGGAGGCAACUCUGAACCAGCCAAGUCGCGUGAAGGAUGAAGGUCUUAUGGAUUGUAAACUUCUUUUGCAAGGGAAUAAAGUGGGGGACGUGUCCUCCUUUGCAUGUACCUUGCGAAUAAGGAUCGGCUAACUCCGUGCCAGCCGCCGC
This 519-nucleotide ribosomal RNA is filed under the name uncultured bacterium. RNAcentral's name for it is "bacterial SSU rRNA". It matches the Rfam family "Bacterial small subunit ribosomal RNA", at positions 8 to 518 of the family's 1533-position model. The record is from RNAcentral.